GCGAUAAUAACUCAGUUGGGAGAGUGUCAGACUGAAGUCAAACUUCAAUCUUUGAAAUCUGAAAGUCCUGCGUUCAAUCCGCAGUUGUCGCA
RNAcentral lists this transfer RNA (92 nucleotides) under Stachybotrys elegans. RNAcentral describes it as "tRNA-Phe". Lineage: Eukaryota; Fungi; Ascomycota; Sordariomycetes; Hypocreales; Stachybotryaceae. The record is from RNAcentral.